UUUCCGUAGGUGAACCUGCGGAAGGAUCAUUAUUGAAUGAACUUGACUUGGUUGCUGCUGGUCUUUUCGAAGGCAUGUGCACACUUUGUCAUCUUUAUAUCUCCACCUGUGCACCUUUUGUAGACCUGAAACCAAAUUUCCGAGGCAACUCGGUCGUGAGGAACUGCUUAACAGCUUUCCUUGUUAGGUUCCAGGGCUAUAUUUUCAUAUACACCAUAAGAAUGUAACAGAAUGUCAUUAUUAGGCUUAGUUGCCUUAUAAACUAUAUACAACUUUCAGCAACGGAUCUCUUGGCUCUC
RNAcentral lists this unclassified non-coding RNA (299 nucleotides) under plant metagenome. RNAcentral's name for it is "partial contains small subunit ribosomal RNA, internal transcribed spacer 1, and 5.8S ribosomal RNA". The record is from RNAcentral.